This 497-nucleotide ribosomal RNA is filed under the name uncultured bacterium. Its description in RNAcentral is "partial 16S ribosomal RNA". It matches the Rfam family "Bacterial small subunit ribosomal RNA", at positions 28 to 507 of the family's 1533-position model. The record is from RNAcentral.
GAUGAACGCUGGCGGCGUGCCUAAUACAUGCAAGUCGAGCGAACGGACGAGAAGCUUGCUUCUCUGAUGUUAGCGGCGGACGGGUGAGUAACACGUGGAUAACCUACCUAUAAGACUGGGAUAACUUCGGGAAACCGGAGCUAAUACCGGAUAAUAUUUUGAACCGCAUGGUUCAAAAGUGAAAGACGGUCUUGCUGUCACUUAUAGAUGGAUCCGCGCUGCAUUAGCUAGUUGGUAAGGUAACGGCUUACCAAGGCAACGAUGCAUAGCCGACCUGAGAGGGACAUCGGCCACACUGGAACUGAGACACGGUCCAGACUCCUACGGGAGGCAGCAGUAGGGAAUCUUCCGCGAUGGGCGAAAGCCUGACGGAGCAACGCCGCGUGAGUGAUGAAGGUCUUCGGAUCGUAAAACUCUGUUAUUAGGGAAGAACAUAUGUGUAAGUAACUGUGCACAUCUUGACGGUACCUAAUCAGAAAGCCACGGCUAACUACGUG